AAACAAAACAAAGAUAAAGAUGCAGUAUAUAGUAGAGAGAUGAUAUUAAU
This 50-nucleotide non-coding RNA is filed under the name Trypanosoma brucei brucei. Lineage: Eukaryota; Euglenozoa; Kinetoplastea; Trypanosomatida; Trypanosomatidae. The record is from RNAcentral.